Molecule: ribosomal RNA, 497 nt
Filed under: uncultured bacterium
Lineage: Bacteria
Description: partial 16S ribosomal RNA
Rfam family: Bacterial small subunit ribosomal RNA
Source: RNAcentral
GAUGAACGCUGGCGGCGUGCCUAAUACAUGCAAGUCGAGCGAACAGACGAGGAGCUUGCUCCUCUGACGUUAGUGGCGGACGGGUGAGUAACACGUGGAUAACCUACCUAUAAGACUGGGAUAACUUCGGGAAACCGGAGCUAAUACCGGAUAAUAUGUUGAAUCGCAUGGUUCAACAGUGAAAGACGGUCUUGCUGUCACUUAUAGAUGGAUCCGCGCCGCAUUAGCUAGUUGGUAAGGUAACGGCUUACCAAGGCAACGAUGCGUAGCCGACCUGAGAGGGUGAUCGGCCACACUGGAACUGAGACACGGUCCAGACUCCUACGGGAGGCAGCAGUAGGGAAUCUUCAGCAAUGGGCGAAAGCCUGACGGAGCAACGCCGCGUGAGUGAAGAAGGUCUUCGGAUCGUAAAACUCUGUUAUUAGGGAAGAACAAAUGUGUAAGUAACUAUGCACGUCUUGACGGUACCUAAUCAGAAAGCCACGGCUAACUACGUG